RNAcentral lists this ribosomal RNA (433 nucleotides) under uncultured bacterium. Its description in RNAcentral is "partial 16S ribosomal RNA". It matches the Rfam family "Bacterial small subunit ribosomal RNA", at positions 29 to 507 of the family's 1533-position model. The record is from RNAcentral.
AACGAACGCUGGCGGCAUGCCUAACACAUGCAAGUCGAACGAGACCUUCGGGUCUAGUGGCGCACGGGUGCGUAACGCGUGGGAACCUGCCCUUAGGUUCGGAAUAACUCCCCGAAAGGGGUGCUAAUACCGGAUAAUGUCUUCGGACCAAAGAUUUAUCGCCUUUGGAUGGGCCCGCGUUGGAUUAGCUAGUUAGUAGGGUAAAAGCCUACCAAGGCGACGAUCCAUAGCUGGUCUGAGAGGAUGAUCAGCCACACUGGGACUGAGACACGGCCCAGACUCCUACGGGAAGCAGCAGUGGGGAAUAUUGGACAAUGGGCGAAAGCCUGAUCCAGCAAUGCCGCGUGAGUGAUGAAGGCCUUAGGGUUGUAAAGCUCUUUUACCCGGGAUGAUAAUGACAGUACCGGGAGAAUAAGCUCCGGCUAACUCCGUG